GAUGAACGCUGGCGGUAUGCUUAACACAUGCAAGUCGAACGGACCCUUCGGAGUUAGUGGCGGACGGGUGAGUAACGCGUGAGAAUCUGGCUUUGGGUUCGGGACAACCACUGGAAACGGUGGCUAAUACCGGAUGUGCCGAGAGGUAAAAGAGAAAUUGCCUGAAGAUGAGCUCGCGUCUGAUUAGCUAGUUGGUGAGGUAAAGGCUCACCAAGGCAGCGAUCAGUAGCUGGUCUGAGAGGAUGACCAGCCACACUGGGACUGAGACACGGCCCAGACUCCUACGGGAGGCAGCAGUGGGGAAUUUUCCGCAAUGGGCGAAAGCCUGACGGAGCAAUACCGCGUGAGGGAAGAAGGCUCUUGGGUUGUAAACCUCUUUUCUUAGGGAAGAACAAAAUGACGGUACCUAAGGAAUCAGCAUCGGCUAACUCCGUG
Molecule: ribosomal RNA, 435 nt
Filed under: uncultured bacterium
Lineage: Bacteria
Description: partial 16S ribosomal RNA
Rfam family: Bacterial small subunit ribosomal RNA
Source: RNAcentral